UAUUUGACAAUGGGGGCAACCCUGCUCCAUCCAUUCCGCCUGGUUGAAGAAGGUCGUCGGGUUGUAAAGCACUUUAAGUUGGGAGGUAGGGGUUUAGGUUAAUACCCUGAAGUUUUGACGUUACCAAAAGAAUAAGCAUCGGCACACACUGUGCUCGGAGCCGCGGUAAUACAGAGGGUGCAAGCGUUAAUCGGAAUUACUGGGCGUAAAGCGCGCGUAGGUGGUUCAGUAAGAUGGGUGUGAAAUCCCCGGGCUUAACCUGGGAACUGCUUUCAUAACUGCUGAGCUAGAGUACGGUAGAGGGUAGUGGAAUUUCCUGUGUAGCGGUGAAAUGCGUAGAUAUAGGAAGGAACACCAGUGGCGAAGGCGACUACCUGGACUGAUACUGACACUGAGGUGCGAAAGCGUGGGGAGCAAACA
This 420-nucleotide ribosomal RNA is filed under the name uncultured bacterium. RNAcentral describes it as "partial 16S ribosomal RNA". It matches the Rfam family "Bacterial small subunit ribosomal RNA", at positions 362 to 774 of the family's 1533-position model. The record is from RNAcentral.